CAGAAACAAAUCCUUAGACAAAUUUCCAGAAUCAAAACCUAGAAAUCUCACAAUGAAAACACAAAUUGAAACCUAAAUUUCAGUAAUCACAACAUAGAAAUCUCGAUCUAUUCUCAAAACCUAGAAAUCUUGAUCAUCAGAACCUUAAAAAAAUUUUAAACCUAGAAUGCAAAAUCAGUUUUGUUACUGAAAUCUGAAAUCAAUUCAUCUUUGAUUAUCAUCAGGUGAAUCUAUUACAGCUGAGAACGAAACAAGGGAAGGAGAGUACUACGUCUGGCACGAGUUUCGUAGAGUAAAAUUGUUGUUCUAAGGACUUGAAAGGUAUCGACGUAUCGUGCACGAAACCUGUUCAUCACAGAGAGGGAAGCAAUUGCAGGUGGUGAAUUGGAUUGUG
Molecule: long non-coding RNA, 394 nt
Organism: Papaver somniferum (opium poppy)
Lineage: Eukaryota; Viridiplantae; Streptophyta; Magnoliopsida; Ranunculales; Papaveraceae
Exons: 4
Source: RefSeq, a predicted model, not a curated record